GGGGUGGUUGGCAAACUCGAUCAUCUGGCCCCAAAACUUUCAGCUGUAACAUCGGAGAAAUUUGAAACUGCUUAUAAAGUAGUACUAUAUCCCUCUUAGUCAGCUCGGAUCAGAACCCCAGCGGCACGAACUCGGGAUCUCUAAAGGCCAUUCCUCUCACUCAGAAGAAAAAUCGGGAAACCAGAAGAUAGAAGGAAAAGGAGAAUCUACGGCAA
This 215-nucleotide long non-coding RNA is filed under the name Elaeis guineensis (African oil palm). RNAcentral describes it as "long non-coding RNA (EGUI_LNC046567)". The record is from RNAcentral. Lineage: Eukaryota; Viridiplantae; Streptophyta; Magnoliopsida; Arecales; Arecaceae.